RNAcentral lists this long non-coding RNA (32445 nucleotides) under Malus domestica (apple). RNAcentral's name for it is "long non-coding RNA (MDOM_LNC004771)". Lineage: Eukaryota; Viridiplantae; Streptophyta; Magnoliopsida; Rosales; Rosaceae. The record is from RNAcentral.
UCUGACGACCUUCCCGCGAACUGGGCUUUUUUUUCUUUUUUUCUUUCUCUUUUUUUUCUCCCUCUUCUUCUUUUUCUUCUUCUUGUUGCAGGUUUUGGGGGGAUGAACUGGGGUUUUUUUUUUUCUUUUCCUCCCUCCUCUUCUUCUUCUUGUUGUUGUUGCAGGUUUUUAGGUUCUAGGUUAGGGAUAGGGAUGUGGGUCGAUUAGGGGGUGGGUGAGAGAUAGUGGGUAGGGAUUGCAGAGAGGAGAGGGGGAAGAAAGGGGAUUUGGGUUAGGGUUUUUAUGUUUUAUUUUUAUUUUUUAUAAUUGGAUUAAUAUUAUAAUAUUUUUAAUGUAUAAAAAAAAAUUCUACGUGGUAGCCACAUUAGCACAAAUGUGGUAGCCACGUCAGCAUUUAACAGACUAAUGGAUGGAAAAUCUAACGGAUGUGUUAUUUUGAAAUAAAAUGGUACUAGAUGUAUGAAAAUGAAAUGUUUUAAAGUUAUUGUAUGGGGUUAAAAUUUACCCUCAAACCUGAGGGGCUACUAUGUAAUUUACCCAAAAAAAAAAGAUUUCAUCAAAGCUUAGAAGUUGUCGUUAUGACCAAAAUGUUCUGUCAUUUACUUGAGUUACACUUCAAUAAUCAUGAUGUUCAUAAUUGUGACAUUGUUGGCUGUUGUUGAUUUUUCAUGAUGGCUCAAAAGUGAAUAGAAUGAUGUGCUAAAAAAAAAAAAAAAAAAAAAUGGAAUGAUUGGGUGUAUUGGAAUGACACAUGUAAGUAAGUUGAAAGAAUAACUUCUCAUCAAAAUGUCAAUUAGGUCAUGCAAUAUGCAUGUUCAACUUUUCCACCUUUGAAAUAUGAGAGUUUUAACAAAAUACUUUUGGUAUUGUUCACUUUUAACGAAAAAUCAUAUUUAUACAUUUUCCUAGUACUAUUCAUUAUAUCUUUAAAAAUGGCUUUUCAUUCAAAGGAAAGUUUUUUUUGGACUUUUCAUUAGUAUUCCUUUGAAAUAUAUGUGUACGGUGUGUCACCACUCAUGUCACAUCCCCGCUCGAGCCCCAAUCAUAUUCGGCUUUUCAUUAAAAGGAAAGUUUUUUUUGAAUUUUUCGUUAGUUUUCCUUUGAAAUAUAUGUGUACGGUGUGUCACCACUCAUGUCACAUCCCGGCCCGGGCCCCAAUCAUAUUCCGAGCUCGACUCCAUUGUAACACGAUAUUGUCCGCUUUGGGCCAUGACCAUGCCUUCACGAUUUUGUUUCCGAUAACUCACACGAGAACUUCCCAGUGGGUCACCCAUCCUGAGAAUGCUUUGGAGUUCCGAUGGAACCCGAAGUCAGUGAGCUCCCAAAAUGCAUCGUGCUAGGUAGAGAUGAGAAUAUACAUAUAAGGCUUACAGGAUCCACUCCCUUGGACGAUGUGGGAUGUCACAACUCACUACACCAAAUUAUCAAGUGCAAAUUGCAAUCUCACUCACUUGCACACACCACAAAAAUGCAGCUACGUUUUGUACUAAUAAUAUAAUGACGUCUGUAAAUUUUAUCUGCAUAUGAUAUUAAAACUAUGAACAUAAAAUGCUAAAAUCAACAUAUAUCUAUACUAUACAAGUCGCUUUCAUCGUACAAUCAAAGCCAAAGUAAAUUGGUGGAAGCACGUGAUUACUUCGAUUAUGUGUUUGUGGAGGUUGAUGGUGCUUUAUUGGAGACAUACAAAGGAACCUUUUGUUGAUCAGCCAAUUGGCUCAUAUCAAGUGCAACGGACUAAGCCCACAUCUACAAUCAUAAGUCAUAUCAUCCUUUUACUUUUGACGUACCCAAAGGUUUCUUUUCGAUUAAAAGCUUAAUUAGUGGAUUUUUUCUUAAUGCGAUUUCAGGAUUACAUUCGUUAAAACUUCGUUUCGUUAUCAAAAAUAAUUUAAGUGACGUUUUGGACUAAAAAGAUACCUUUACAUGUUUUGUUUUUUUUUGUUUUUUUUUUUGUAAAAAGGUAAUAACAUAUUACUAACAACACAUAUUUACAAGAGAGAGGCCCACAUACAAUAAAAACACAACAACAAAAUUACAGACCUCCAAAGUACAACGAAACCAAGCCCAACAGAAAAACAGAAAAAACCCCAACAGCUUGCAUCCUCUGACGCUACUGCCAUCGGAAGGACCACCAAACUCAAACCACCCUGAAAUCAAGCCAAUGCAAGCCCCCCAAAGUGGAUAAGAAGAAGGCUUCAACAACCUCCAAAGAGCACAGCCAAGAUCGGCACCACAAAUCAAAUGAAGCUCACAGGAAACAACCCACGAGCAACAGAGGCAACAAGGCAAAAUAAAGGCAAGAAGGUGGUGAGAACACCGGAGCAUCGAUGAAAUCCGAAGCUCUACACCUCUUCCUCCUAAAGGGGAAUCGCAAAGAUUCACAUUCACGAUGUUGAUUAGUGGAACUCAAUGUAAAGUGUCAGAUCAAUGGAGGAGUGAGUCAAUUGGAAGGGGUAGGGUGUGGAGUGUUGGAAAUUAAGGUGGUGGAGGGAAAAGUAAAUAAAAAAGGGGAGUUGGUGAAGUGAAAUCAGAGGCACCAGAGAGAUGAGGAUAUGGUCGAACCAACAAAAAGGUAGAGGAAAAAAACAAGUAGGAACAAAAGGAAAGAAAAGGAAAACAAGAGGAGCAAAGCUAGUCAUAGCUAGAAUCGGUGGUAGCGAGGAGAAGAAUGGAAGCUAGAUAUACACUCAUACACAAAUGGUGAGAAAGCUCUCAAUAAGAGAGAAGUUUUUUCGGUUGUGAAUUAAGUUUCUACCUUUACAUUCAUCUGUCAUUCCAUCUGACAUAUUGCACCUCUCGUGGUUUAAUUAUGUCAAGGAGAGUUACUAAUUAUGUAAAACUGUAACUUGCAUCCUAAGAAAAAAAAAAUCUGAAAAAAAAAAAAACAAUAAAUGGCAAUAACUCUAGAGAAAUAAUUAAACAAAUAAUUAAACAAAUAAAGAAACUCCAAUUGAAGAAUUAAUUAAAAGAUUAACAGAAUCAUCAUCGCAAUUAAUCGCGGCGGUAACGAGAAGUUAAUUUUUCCGUCUUGAACGAAGCCCGCUUUCACGGCGUCGUGAGAAUCUAACAGCAGUAGUAUAAAGUGUUUAUUUAAAAAACAAAAUCAAUUAAAAACCUAACGGUCGCAUUUUUGUUAAAACCUAUCCACCCCCGUUCCCCACCAACUUUGCUCAACUCUCCCACCGACACAAACUCAACUUUCCAUUUCCCCACGGCCUCCCUCCAAAUAUCCCCACCAAAAUUGCACUUUAAUGCCACAUUCACUUUCAGUGUAUAUAUUUUUCUGGGUUUUCAGAAAGCCCAAUUUUUCUUUUCGUUUAAUUCAAAUUUUGUUUUUUUUUUGGGGGGAUUUGAUGAUUUUGCGAGAUAUGCAAGCCAAGUCACUGCAAUGGGCGCCGUCGCCGGGACUCCGGGUCGGGGUCGAAACGUCUUCUUUGUCGCAGCUGGCGGUCCUGAACUUGCCCCGUGGUGCUUCUGUGAAUGGCUUGAAAGCCAGGAGUUUGUUUGUAGUAAAGGCCAUGGAGGUGGAGGGUUCCAGAACGGCGAGUCUGAAAGGCCACGCUGGGAGUUCAGGCACUUAGUUGUUAAUUAUUUGGGAAUCUUUAAGCUUUUUCUGAAUUGGAUUUUGUUUUCCAUGUAGAAUUUACCCACUUAUGAUUUUUCAUCUUUAAUUUUUGGGAUCUUUAAGCCUUUUCUGAACUUACCCACUCUGAAUUUUCAUGUAGAAUUUGGAAUCUUUAUGCUUUUUCUGGAUUGAUUUUUGUUUUAAUUUUUUUGUUAAAUAGAUAAAAAUGGGAGCUUGUUGUCUUCGGUUGGCAAUUCAACCAAUAUUAAAUGGCAUGAGUGUUCAUUGAACAAAACUGACAGGCAAAAGUUGCUUAAACAAAAGGGGUGUGUCAUUUGGAUCACCGGUCUCAGCGGUUCAGGUUAGUUUUUCCUUAAUUCAAAUUUUAUAUUACAUUCACACACACACACACACAUAUAUAUAUAUGUAUUAUGUUCUUUAUGAUAGAAAUAUGGCAUAUUAUAUCUGGUUAGACUGUGAAUCAGAACCGCAUUCAUAUAUGAUUUUGUUUAAUUGCAAUUCGGAUUGAUAGUCUAACAACAUCCACAACCCGUUAGACUGUGCCGAGAGAAAGUUGUUCAUCACUUGCGUAUAAUUGAUUUUGUUUGUUCAGGGAAGAGCACGGUGGCUUGUGCAUUGGGUGGGAGUUUGUAUCACAGGGGAAAACUAUCGUACAUUCUUGAUGGGGACAAUGUCAGGCAUGGCCUGAAUUGCGACCUUAGUUUUAAAGCAGAAGAUCGUGCAGAGAACAUUCGGAGGAUUGGUAUGCAUGUCUAUGCCUCUUUUUAAUUGACUAAUUCCUCUUUUUAGAUUAACUACCGCUUUCGUUUUCAUUAUGUAUUCAUGUAGCAUUGCCUUUGCUCUUGUAUUCAGGGGAGGUGGCAAAAUUGUUUGCUGAUGCUGGAGUUAUUUGUAUUGCUAGCGUGGUUUCUCCUUAUAGAAGGGAUCGUGAUGCCUGCCGUGCAAUGCUACCUGCUGGAGACUUCAUUGAGGUUUGUAAUUCACUGCUAUUUAAUCUCUAUCACUGUUUUUCAAGUUCAACUAAGCUUUGGGCAUAUGCUUGGAAUAUUUGCUGAAGAAAUUAUCAGUAAAGCAAACUUGUUUUGUGAAAGGUGUUCAUGGACGUUCCACUCCAAGUUUGUGAGGCUAGAGACCCGAAAGGCCUAUAUAAGCUUGCACGUGCAGGGAAGAUCGAAGGUAUAUGCAAACUAGUAUCUCGGGUUUUGGUUACUAAAUUGAGUUUGUCUUUAAAAUUUAACAGCCUGCUUAAGGUGCCACUGUCCUACUAAAAUCUUUACGUUGAUAUUUUUUUAUUUUUUUACGAUGAGAUACAAGAAACGUUGUGAAUCUUAUUAUGGUUAAUUAAACUUCUGUUUAAACAAUCAUUUGGAAGAUUCUUAAUUUUUUCUGGUACUACUGUACGCAAACCUCUAGGUGUGGGUGUGUAUCUGUGAAUCUUCCCUUGUGCAUUGACAUGGAUAUUUUUUGAAGUUGGUAACUUUCGCCAUCUCAUAUAUGGAUCCUUAAGUGCGACUCUGAUUACUAAUUGAAUCCUGGACAAUUGGUAUGUUGAAUUUAUUUGAAAUAUGUGUACCAAUCCCACUCUCCAUAGUGCACCGAAUCUUUUCAUUUUGUAUUUUACAAGGAGUUAUGAUUAAAUGGCCAUAUUAUUUAUCACUUUGUCAGUUUCCUAGUCCGAAAUGCUGGUCAUUACUUACACUGUAUCAAUCCGGCAUUGCAGGUUUUACUGGGAUUGAUGAUCCAUAUGAGCAACCGUUAGAUUGUGAGGUAUGUACACUAUCUAGAGAAAAGCAGAAUACACCUUUUAAGCUAAAAUUGAACAGGUGUGGCUACAUACAGACUACAGAUAUCAUAUAUAUACACACAUGUUUCUCUUGCUAAAAAGAAAUACACAUUACGUAAUGAGAGCUGUGGAAAAUAGCAACUUAAAAAUAAAAAAUUUAAACUUAAAACGCAAUCCAGAAGAAAAUAUUUUCUAUAGAAAAAGGCUGUUGUUAAAAAAGUCUGUAAUUAACCAAGAGCUUAAUCUAUGCUUUUUGGAAGUUAAAUUUGAGAUACAUUAGUCGCUUUCCACAUAGGCACCAUUUCAAUUCCAUUCUUUAAUUUAGCCUGUAGGGAUAUGGCGCAGAAUGAAACGAAUGAUGAUCUGAUGUAUACUUGCUGGACACGAUGUAACUACAGCUGCACAUAAACUCAACUCACCUAUUGUUACGUUUUCCUUUUCGGUCUAUAGUGUGCUCGAUGUUAUUGUUUUAUUUGGAAUAUGAAAGGAGAAUUUCUCAUUUGCUGUUUUUUCAUCCUUUAUCUGGCUUCAGAUAGUAUUAUCACAUAAAGGAGGAGCAUGUCCUUCCCCAUGUGAGAUGGCCGAAGAAGUAGUUUCUUACUUGGAAGAUCAGGGGUUCCUCCAGGCAUAAGAAGUCCGUGGAACCCUUCCUUGAACUGUCAAAACUUUGAGCUGUACCGUAAAUGCAGUGCAGAUAGCUUCUAGCGCUCCAUGUGGAUGGUAUGCGUCUGGCCUUACCAGAUCAGCGAAAACAGAUGCAGAAAUCACCUGCUCUGGUAAAACGCAUUAGUUAAUUGCUUGAUUAACUUAUGCGACAUCUUUGCUAUGUUUGGUGUUAUUUUGAGUUGCGCUCUCCUCAUUGUAAAUGAUAGUGUGUAGAGUUUCUCGGUCAGAUUCUUUCAUCCCGUGUUCGAUGUGUUUGUAUCAGCUCUAGAAAUUUAAGAAUCAUAAACCCUAGUACUCGUAAAUAAUCUCGUGCCUUUUGUACAUGCAUCGGUGCACGCAUUUGAAUAUAAUUGUAUUGAUAAACUGCUGUUAUACUAUGUGUACUAGAUCUUAUAUAAUAUCUGACCAAAUACUUGGGGGAAAAGAAGGCCAAAAGAGCUUUCUAUAGACAAUGUAAGAUGAUAAAGAAUUUACUCUCUAGUUUCAAGACCAAAAAGAAAAGAGAGAGAAAAACCAAAAAGAGGUUUUCGUUACAGGCCUUUGCCUUUGGCAUGCUAUUAUUAGUGAUUUAGAUAAUUUUAGUAAAAAGAAACAAAGACUAAGGUAAUUUAGAAUACUUCAUUUUUCUUGUUUGUAACAUUUCUGGUGAUUUAUCGUCAAUGCAAUGCCAAUCAAAUCUAAAACCUGUUGGACUUUAGAUGUAACACAAAGCUAACAAGUUAUUGGAUGACUGACCGGCGGUAAAGCCUCUUAAGUAAUUAUAUUUAAUCUUUUAAAGUACAUGAUCUGGACCGUGCUCUAAUUGAGAAUAACAAAAGAGGGAAAAUGCUCAUAAAAGAACUUGGGGGAAGAUGGAGAACCCUCUAAGAACCAACUCAUCUCAUCACCUAACCUCCCCCAACCAUAAUAAGGCCAUAGCCCACACCAAGUCGUAAGACUGGUUUUAUUGGUUGAAAUUCAUUUAAAAUACAUGAAGGGGGAUCCGAACUUUGAGUGUGAAUGGAGGAACAUACUGCUCUACCAAUUUGACUUAAAAUGUACUUUCAAAUAACUUAUUUGAUUGAAGCCAUUUCCUUAUGCUAAAAGAAAAUUGUAUACGAUAUUACUCAAAAUCACUAUAAACAAAUUAUAAUUAACGGAAUCACUUUAAAAUUCAUUUAAAAUACAUGAAGGGGGAUCCGAACUUUGAGUGUGAAGAAAUGAACACACUGCUCUAACCAAUUUGACUUAAAAGAUACUUUCAAAUAACUCAUUUGAUUUAAGCCAUUUCCUUAUGCUAGAAGAAAAAUUGUACACGCCAUUACUCAAAAUCACUAUAAGCAAAUUACGAUUAACAGAAUCACUUUAAAAUUUUGGUAUACUUUGGCGAGAGUUAUUUCCGCACUUUCAUUCUCACCUCACAAAAACAGAGGUAUUUUAGAAUACCUCAUUUUGAUUUCAGUACUCUCUCUUCUUCUCUCUCUCUUCUGCCAGUCUCGAACCCAGGACCAGCUGGUUUGUGAGUGUAGCACAAUAUCCAGCUGCUACGCGUGAGACCAGCGUUUGUCCGUCUUAAGUAAUUCUAUUUAUACGGCUGAGAGAUGAUAUUUCUCUUUCAAGUUUUCUUCCUUUUUUUCUACGAGUGCUGAAUGUUCAAUAUAAAAUGUUGCCCUUGGAUUAUGAAAAUUAAAUGUAUCACUCAUUAAUUAAUUAUUUUGUUUUUUUACAAGAUCAUGUAUUCUAAUCAUUCUAGGUAGGGUUGGGCACGGUCAGGUUCCACCAUCAAAUUGGAACCUAUAUUGAAAAAUAUCAACGAUUCAUUUUUGUACAGUUCCACUUAAAUUUAUUAGAUCAUGAUGGUUUACGGUUCCAACCAAAAUUGUAUAUAUUUUUUUCACUUUUUCGAAUCCUCUAUUUUCUAAAGAAUAAUAAAAAAAAGAACUCAGGAUUUAUGGUGAUGAGACUUGUUUUAAAUCAACUAUUGGGCGAGAUUGAUUCAGUUGUUCAUGAUGGUUGAAUCGUCUUCAUCAAUGAUGUAUGCCAAACCUUUUUCAAAAUCAAACACAAAUAAAACACCAUUUCAUAUUGGAGAAAAAAAAAAAAAAACGUUUGUAUUUACUUCACUGGUUUGAGUAUGCCAAAAAAACCACAUGAUGGAUUCAUAUUUGUAAACUAGUCUAGUACUACCCAAUUAAUGCAACAUGUAAAGCAACUCAAUUUUUCUAAUUUGAAACAAUAGAAAGCAAAGAACGUUGAUCGAACCUUUCACAAGAGUGACCAACUCUGAACUAGCUCCCAAUAUCAACACCAAAAGCAGCUUUACCAAGACUAGAACCAUAUCAACAAGCUGAAAUUUACCAAGACUAGAACACCAUCAGGCUGGAAAGAUGGUUUGUUUAUAUAAAAAAUAAAAAAUAAAACAAUAAAACAAUAAAAUUUAUAUUAAAAGUGAUUCGGUUCAGUUCCUUUGGUUCUUAUUAUUUCCAACCCGAAACCAGAACCGGUUUGAGAUGGUCCGGUUCGUCUUUUGUCCCAGUUUUGACUUUUUUGGUCAAUGCGGUUUUUUUAUGGUAUUUUCUUACUACUAUUCGACUCAGUUUUCCAGUUCAACUAUUUUUAUGCCCACCUCUAAUUCUAGGUUACGAAAAGGGUGAUACAAAUUGAAUAGAAGGGGGUGAACACACUACUGUGAUCAAUACCAUUGUUCGAGUAGGAAAUCUCACGAGGAGGGGUCCUUGGCUCGAGCACAAAGCUCCUCGAGGAAUUGACAUUUUGUUGAUUGUCGGGCUCCGGCUUGCUGAGAUGCUACAAAAGGAGGACAAAGUUAGUUCUGAAAGGUGCUUUUGUGGGGCCUUAGGGGUAGGCCUUAAGACUCGUAAUCAAAACUAACUAAGUGCUAAGGCAUGCCACUGCUAUCUCUGUAUGGCAGAUGUAGAACAAGUGUAUUUAAGCCGAUUACUUGUGCCUCAAGUUAUUUUGACUUCUUGUUAUCAAAGGAUUGUCGUAGAUGGGUUAAGUCUACAUUAAGUUCUUUUCUAUGCCUUGAGAUUAAGGACUUUUGGUUCUUUAUCUUGUAUGCUUAAAGGGUGAAGAUCAAGAUUUGAUCAAGUCAUCAGUUUUAAUCAGUUUUAAUCUUCUUAUGACCAUAGAAACACUAAGUGAACCAGAUCUAAGAAUUGAUGGAACUUUGGAUCAUUAAAAGACUGGAAAUGACUUGAAUAUGUACUGGGGAAUACAUUAUAACAAUAGAUUUAUUAAUUGAAAGACAAAACAAAGAGAGGCGGGCAAGAUUUCAGCUUGUCGGGCAAGGUUGAACGUCUUGCAAUCUUUUUGUUGUAGUUCUAAAGGGUUAGGUACUGAAAGAGGAAUGACAGGUAAACGGGUUUACAUAAGAGAAUCGAUACUACAACAUUUGAAGAAUGUAGCAGAGCUUUUACAUAGACAAAAGAUGUCUUUCUAAAGGAAGUCUAAAGCUAAAAGGGUGCAGAAUCUGGACAAAGCACAACUUUCUGGAUAUUUGCUUGACUGAGAGGCAAGUUGUAUGUUUGUUUGUUUGUUUGAUUGGUUGAGUGUCCUUGUCUCUAGGCCAUCUUCUCUUAUUUAUAGGCGAAUUAGCCCGACUGUGCUGUUUCUACUCUUACUCGAAAGCAACUAGAGGGUAGUGGGUCAUUAGCAAUUUUACAUGUUUUGCCACUCGGAAAAAUGCUUUUGGGCCGAGAGUUGGUUGAUUUCCAUCGGUUAUCACUUCUCUUAUAAGCACCUAACCUUUGCAUUUAAUGGGGAGCCGUCUUGUCUUGAGAUAGGUAUCUGGGCUUGACUCUGGGCCUCGAGCAAAAUCUCCUCUAUUGAGCUUUCUUGGGCUUCCUUCCCUUUAAGCCCAAGUUAAAUAUUAACCCAAACAACCAUGCUGUAAAAAGAAAUAAUGAAUUCAUUUGAUUUGACAUUGAUGAUUUCCUAGAUAUGAGUUUUGGCCAUAUAUUUUGAGACGUAAAAACAUUAAUAAUCUAUGAAAGAUUUUUCGUGAUAGAAAAAGAACUCUUACUAAAAACCUCACAGGUUCGGCUUCUCGAUCAAUUCAUUUCAUAUAUGUUUCAACAUUCUUAGACAUUUGGGAUUCAACAACUAAGCUAUAUUUUCCAUAUACUUAUCUAUUCAUAUUCAAGUGCCAAUCAAACCCAAAAACUGCUUGAUUGUGCCUACAAAGUUAAAAUGAGUUCGUCGUUAAAACUUGUCAGGAUAUAAUAUUUCUUAGUUUUUUUUGCCGAGGGGGAGAUUUUAAUAAACACCAAACACACACUUACAAACAAACAAAUGCCCAACUUACACCUAUAAACAAACAAAAAAAGGGCCUAAAAACCAAGAAAAAACAGAAACAAAAAGUGAGCCCAAAAGCCCAAAAACAACAUAAGUUCCAAAAAGCAUUCACUACUUUCUCCAUUGCCUAUCUGAGGAGCAUCCAGCCAUCUGAUUCUCCGAUCACCACCGAUCAUCUCCUCCUCAGACACCUCAUGCGCACAACCAUAAGCAAGAGAUAGUUGGCACCCAAGUGAAAGAUGCAAACCACCUGUGUGAAGCUCAGGGAAAUCCUCGAGCGACAUUGCCAGAAACAGCAGACACUAAGGAGAACGUGGUGGUGUUGGAAACACCUGAGUAGGUGAAAGCGCCGGAACUCUACACACGAACUCGAUAGAGAACAUGGCUGAAGAUUGGAGAAAGGAAGAGCUAGGAAGAGGAAUACCCACAGGGUUGAGGAAUUGGACAAGCGAGAUUGAAAAAUUGGGAGAACCAGCAGUAGAUGCAAGGAGAAAAGAAGGAAAAGAGGGAAAAGAGGACACAACAACCGACCCCAACUGAAGCUAAGGCCGAUGCCACCGAAGAUGCUUAGAUCUGAAAGUCUCAUAGAAGCAGUAGUGAGAAGGACUCUCACUUCGGAGAGAGGAUUUUUUUCUUCUUAACGAUGAUUGAUCAUUGCUUUGUCGCAAGAAGGGUUAUGGAAAAGGGAAGAGGUCAUAUUUUGUAGUUUUGCACAUGAUUUAGGGCCAUGCACAACCCCUCUUUAGCUCUAGUUAUAUUGGUUGCCUACUAAUCUCACUAACUGUUAAAUCUCAAACUCCAUCUAGCAUACCUAGCUUUUUCAGGCCCUUACUUUUGGCAUGUUCAUAUUACUGUUAUAAUACCAUCUCAUUUUACUUAAUUGCCUUAUGUUGGAGAUGCUGUUGAAGUUGCGCUCCCAGUCUUGAACCUAGGCCAUUGGAUUGUGAAAACCAACACAUUACACGAGACUGGUAUUACGAGGGUGCUAGUCUAGGUUGCACGGACACUCCGACAUGCCUCGCACACAUCCCAGACACGGCUUGGACACGGCUAAUAUAUGGCUUAGACACGCUCAAGACACAGCAAGGGCCUUUUUGUAAAUUAAAAAAACGUAUCUGAGAAAUUAUUGGAAAUUCAAUAUAUACUAAAACCCAUCUUUCCUUGAAACACUGUUCAUAAGCACAGUGUUGUUCCGGUUUUACCUUCUCUUAGUUUCUGUUAUUUCAAGUCUGCCACUGCUUAUAUAUACCAAAUAUUUGUUUCUCUGUUUCUUCCUCCUGUGUUCUCUCUUCCCUUCCGCGAGCAAUUCACCAUUCCUCCCAACCUCGACUACUGUAAAACGACCACUACACUCAUUCGAACCACUACCAACCCAUCCCUCUCACUCUUUUUAGUCAAGCUGUCGCCAAUUUUGUCGUUGUUUUUGUGUAACCAAUAGUUAGAGUUUCAGACAUAUGUUCCAGCGACCUAAUUCCUGCCGAUCGCCCACGACUCGGGCCUUUCCGUUACCUGGAAACAACUUCUCUCACUUUCAGGAGAUACAUGAAGGUAUUGCAUGUUCAAUACUAGUUCAUUUUAAGAUGAAUUGAAGGAAACUGUAUAAUCUGCAUAUGAAUGCUCUUAGGCAUCCUUAUGUUCGUGUUCAUACCAACAAUAGUAUUAGGAAUCGCAUGCUUAUGAUUUCAAAUUUAUGAAAUUAAUUUACUCAUGUCUUUAUCAGAUCGAUUUACCUUUUUUUUUUUUAGAAUUCUUUGUUUAAAUUUGCAGGGUUUAGGACAAUUUUUCUUUUAAAGUUAUGGGUGAUAUGAUUUUUUUUUAUUUGAAUUAUUCAUUUAAUUUCUGAGAUCUUUUAUCAAAUCUCCAAAUUGACUCAUAAUUAUUAGGCUUGAAACAGAUGCUGUAAAUCAGUUUUGGUGGAGGAGUUGUUCAGCAGCCUAAGGAAGAACAGAGGAAUGUUUUUGAAAUAAGGUUUGAUCGAAACUUUUCUAUAAAAUGUCACAAUUUUGGAGUUUUAAGCCAUUCAAAUUGGUUUGUUAAGUAGGUUACCUAUUGAGUUUUAAUCCAUUCAAAUUCACAUUUGCUUACAUUAAUCUAUUAAGUAGGUUACUUAUUGAUUUUUUUUUUUGGGAUUUUAUGUACAGAGUUCUGUGUUGACACCAGCAAUGCAAGGGCGAGUUCUGUGUCGAAUCACAUUCAUUAGUUAGAUUAUUAAUGUGCUUCGAUAGGGGUUUUCAAUAUGAUUUUGUAAUUUCAAUUAAUAAAUCACAAGAAAUGGAGCAAUUGGAAACAUGGUUGCAAGUCAUAAGCCAGAGUCUUUGUUUUAAAUAACUAUACUACUUUUGUAUUGUAUGCAUUCGUAAGAAAAAUCCAAAUCGUAAUUGAGGUAGCCAUCAUAAAUGACACCACCCAGCUUUUCAAUUCUUAAUCUUUCAGAGGUGCAGUUAGGUUUGUGAUCUUUAUAUAGGUGGUUGUGGAAUCCGGUUCUUUUGAACCAGUUUAAUGGGUUUUAGUGAUUGCAUGUGGAGUGGGUUUAUGAAUUUAUUUAGCCUAUCUCAAAAGGUCAAGAUUAAAAUUUCCUUCAUUUUCUAAGUAACCAAACAGAAAAUUAGCUCUCUCUCCUUUGUUUGGUUUAACUUUACCAAAUGAUACUUUAAAAGUUUCUUAAGUUACUUCAACUAUUAAGUGUGAAAUAAUUGAAUACUUGAAAAUUGGGUUUCGUUUGAUUGUUUGAGCUAAUUGAGCUAAUCUUUUGCUCUGUAGCAACAAGGAGAAAUGAGUCGGCCGGAGGACUCUGAAAGAUGAUUGUUGUUGUUGCUGCUAUAGAUAUGCCGGCGGAUCCUUUGGAGGGAGAGUUAGGCUUGGGUUGAGAAGUGGGAUAAUCCUCUGCGAUGCUAUCAAUAAAGUUCAAACUGGAGCUGUGCCCAGGGUGACCCUGAUCCUUUGAUCAUUUUCCAAAUUCUCACAUUUGUGGUUAUUAUUGAAUGGUAUGCAUAUGGAAGAAAUAUGGGAACCGUUGAAAUGUUGAAUAAUUUGAUUUUGUGUAUUUUUUCAAGGAAUGGGAGAACCUUUGAAUAAGUAUGGUUCCUUAAUUGAAGCAAUUCAUGUUAUGACUGGAUCACUAUUUCUUAUAAAAACUGUUCUGUCAAAUUAUAGGUACAUAACUAUGUUCCAACCACCUACGGCAUCUCAAUGUGGUAGUGGAGCUAUUAUAUCAAUGCCACGGAAAUCCUUGACAGUCAAAGAGUAUACAACCAAGGAAAUGCUCUAAUACGCUGUAUAUUUUGAUUCUAUAAUCAAAAUUUUGUAGUUUUUAGAUUUUGUGGAUCUUAGUAAAUUAGGUAGUAUGAACUAUGAGUACUCUUUUGCUUCUUUCAUUGAAUGUAGUUCGCAAUUGCUAAAAACAUUUGGAGUGACUGAUUCUGCAGUCAACAAAAAAUCUUCAUUGAAUACAUAAUGUUUGAUGGAGUGACUGAUGAAGAGCAACAUGCACACCUAAAAGAGCCCUGACCUCAACCUAAUUUGUUGCUUAACUUUAUUUCGGGAAAUGAGUAGUACUUUGUUAUAUGAUGAAUUCAAAAUAUUGUUUUUAAUAUAUGUAAUUUAUUAUAUUUUAAUCGCUAUGUCCUAGCCUUCUUCGUGUCCUUGUUUUUUAAGAUUUACUAUGUCGCCGUACGUAUCGUCGUGUCGCGUGUUGCCGUAUUCGUGUCCGUGCAAGGUGCUAGUAAUUAUGUAUAUAUCCUAGUUGAAGGGGCUUCCUUAAACAAUUUCAAACCUUAAACAAUUUCAAACCUUAAACAAUUUCAAACCCUACUUUCUUUUACUAAUUAAAAACAUACCAAAAAGAGAGCUCCAGGUCUUCAACAAAAAAGAGAGUAGAUGCAAAAGAAGUGGUAAAAAAACAGAGGUAUUUUAGAAUACCUCAUUUGCUUUUAAGGCCUCUACAGAGGUGUAGAGAAAUGGGAGGAAUUGGAGUGGAUUGGCCGCCAGUCUCGAACCCAGGACAAACUGGAUUUUGAAUUAGCACAAAACCAACAUGCUUCAAGAGACUGGCGUUAAGGUGGCCAAAGUAAUUAAUAUUGUACGCAAGCCAAGUUCAGCACUCCAACACUCAAAGUACCUAACCGAUAAAGGCAGUCUUCUCACGCCUCGCUUUCAAGAUAUGACUAAAAAGGACUCAAUAAUUUAGCAACAUAGCAUCCCUUCGUUUAUUUUAUGAUUACAUCUAACUUUUGUGUUAGAUUGCUUAUGUAUCCUAAGAUAUGAUCAAGCCAUUCGUAGUACGAUAUUCAUUCAUAACGAGGAGAAUAAGUACAUCAUUGAGGAUAUGGUGCAUACAAUGGGCCUCAAUAAAAACUUUACCGGGAAUUACAACUUGGUUGAAAGGAAAAAGAGUGUUCUGCACCUAAACAAUUAUGAACUACUAUGCUCAAGCCGGAGAUCAUGAAUUACGUCAGGGGUUCUUCAAACCAAAUUGCAGAAUUCUCCGAAGUCAAGCUCAUUCUUGCGAGUUUGUGAGCAAUAUUGUUCGUCUCCCGUUUGCUAAAAUAAAUCUCCAUCCAUGGUAUGGAUUUCAUCACCCUGCGUGUGUCCAUAAUAAUAUGCCCAACUGGGGACCUCCUCAGCCCGCUGCAAUGCCACCAUAACAAGCAGUGCUUCCCCCUCCAUUUCCACCGCCAUGAGCUUCAGUUCCUGCAUGGAAAGGGCCGCGUCUCUGGCUACCACAAAUUCUGCCAGCAGCGGGGAAGCAAUCCUGCAGUGGUUCUUCAACGCAGCUGCAAUAAACUCGCCAUAUUCAUUUCGUACGACCAUCCCAACACCUCCCAGACCCCGUUGCUUACCCCAAGCCCCAUCGAUAUUGCACUUGUCACAGCCCAUAGCAGGUGCCUUCCAUUUUUGCGCGUUACCAGGGCUCGGUUUAUGCUUCCACCCGUGCCAUUUUUAAAACUCUUGUAUAGCCUGCAACUUGCAAUGCAUCUCCAAUGGAUUUAAAGCCGAUCCUCUCCAUAAUUAGCAAGAGAGAGCUCUGACUCCUGGUUGCUGCAUGGCGUAUAUGGCAGGAACGAAACUCACUACAUGUUAGUUAUUAAACUGUUUGUUUAGACUUAUGCUAAUUAACAACGCCUUAAUAAAUGAUUGUUCAUAAAAUUUUGCUAUUUUUCCAACUACUCAAAUUAAGGUUUAUGCUCGUUUGUUAUCGCGAGAUGCGAUGAAUUCUAUGACGGUACUGUGACUUCAAUAAUGUGGAGUGGCAGUUAGAGUUUAGAGUUAUGAGUUACUUUAGAGUUUUGGUUAUGAUAGUAUUUGUGGCUUUGAGUUUUGCUUAAAUGUGGCAAUGUGUGGGAAUGUCGGUAGUUUUUCCAUAUUAAAGGUAGUAUCUUUGAUGGAUCUAGACAUGUUGAUGUACACAGAAAAGGAAAUUUAUAACAUGUGGAGCCUUAUUGCUUAAGAACAUACACUCCUACAGUUAAGUUUAGAGUUGUUAACUAAACCAACUUCAUUAAAAGAACGGGGGAUUGUUGUUAUUUACACUGAUAAAAUCUAAAAGAGAGAUUGUUGUUAUUUACACUGAUAAAAAUUUAAUAUACACUUUUUCAUACACGAAUAUAUAGAAGAUAAUACUAUUGUUGGCUUUUGUCAAUACCAAUAUAACAUCUAAAAGAGUAUCGUUGCUAUUUACGCUGAUAAAAAUGUUAUCAUGCAUUUUCACACAUGAAUAAGUAGAUGAUAAAGGAGUUGGAAUUUCAUGAAUAUUUUCGAGUACCAAUAACAAUCUGAAUAUAAAGUUUAAACUCUAAUCUCAAAAUGAAGAUGUCUUUACUUACAUGCAACGAGAGAACUUGAAAUUGUUUGAAUCUUGGAUUCCCUACAACAUGGGCAUUAUAAUAAUUCUAACUGCCUUAUUUCCCUUGUAUUUACUUUCACAAGGUGAUUUCCUCCCCACCCAUCAUUGGGGGUGGGGAAUGCCCUACUCACCUAAGGUCCUAGGAGCAUGUUUAAUUUGACCUUAAUUUGAUAAUAAAUCUGUCACCCACUUGACUUAUCCUUCAUACAGCCAAUCAGUUUAAUGCUCCGCUUACAAACUAAUACAUGUACGAUAAAGAAAAAAAAAGUGUUCAUGCUCCAUAUUAAAGUUCACAAUUCCACACUUGGAGAAAAUUUUAAUUGUGACGGGAACACAAGUGGUACACCACGUGUUUUAAUAGAAGUGGUGAGAAAUUUUAUUUUUUAAGUGAUUAACUUUUUAGCACACAUAUUCUACCAUUUGUUUAAUGACAAGUGAUGUACCACUCCGUAUACCGAUCACACUAAAAAAUCUCUCCCACACUUGGAAAAUCCAAAAUUAGAUUAAAUAAGCACUAAAUGAUCCCAUACCCAAUCCUUAUUUCCCGUCUCGAUUCAUGAUUUUCCUUGUUACAAUUUAGUAAACACGACAUCAAUCCCUAAGCCAUGUGGAUCUUCACUACUGAUAGGUUUAUAUUCAUCGUUUGUUUUUAAUACAUUCGAUAUUAUUUAUACUAAGGGGGUGGGAGACUAAACAUCACAAUGGACUAGCCAUAAUAAUUUGGUUUGAAUUUAUCUUUGUUGAAAAUCGAACAUAAUGUUGUAGGCUUAUUUGAUUGAACGAUCUAGGGUGUAGAGAGAGAAAGGGGGCCGGCCACUAUUAGAGAGAAGAGAGAUUGAUUUAACUGUGAGGUGUGUUUGAUUCACCCCAUUGUGCCUUUAUUUAUAGUAGUAGGAAGGGGAAAACCUUUCCCUUUAGGAUUAUAACAUUUAAUAGGUAAUUUAAUCCUAAUAGGAAUAUAAGAUACAUUCCCAGAUUCCCUAGGAUUUAUACAAUCACAUUCCUAUUCUAAAUAUGACUGCAACACUCCCUCUUGAGUGUGUAAAUACUCAACAAACAAUCGCAUCAGAUCUUCAGCAGAUAAGGUAGAAUAGUUGAUGAAGUCAUCGGCACAACGGGUGAUCGCGAGUCUAGAACUAUUUGAGCAAGUCAAUGGAAGUCCUUCUGGAACUUUCAUAUAAAUUUUCGUAUCUAGAUCCCCAUAGAGAUAUGCAGUUACCACGUCCAUACGCUGCAUAUUCAGUUUUUCGAAAACUACCAAAUUAAAUAGGUGGCAGAACGUUAUAACGUCCAUUACGGGGGAAUACGUCUCCUUGUAAUCAAUCCUUGGGCGCUGAGAAAAGCCUUGUGCUACGAGGCGUGCUUUGUAUCGCAUUAUUUCAUUCUUCUUAUUACGUUUCCUCACGAAAACCCACUUGUAGCCAACGGGCUUCACGUGUGGUGGUGUAGGAACGAUAGGUCCAAAUACCUUACGUUUCGCGAGCAAAUCGAGUUCGACUUGGAUUGCUUGUUUCCAAUUUGACCAAUCGGUUCUACGUCAGCAUUCAUCGACGGAAUGUGGUUCAAUGUCAUCACUAAGCAUGAUGUCAAUAGCUACUGAGUACGAGAAUGCAUCAUCGACGAUCAUCUCAUUCCUAUUCCAAACCUCAUCCAAUAAUGUGUAGUGGAUCGAAAUCUCACGAUUCUCAGGAGGCUGGCAUGUUUCGUUUGAAGCAUCACCAUAAUCUAGAAUAACCUCAUGCGUUGGAACAGAUGAGUGAGCGAUAGUUGGAUUCAAACUAAGGUCACUAGUUGGUGCAAUUUUCCUUUUCCAGGGUUGUGAAUCCUUUGAACUGAGGGGUCUGCCAUGCUUCAGGGUUAGAGCAGAUGAUUGGCUAGCCGCCAAUGUACUUUGCCGCGUGGAGGGUGCAGCUUCCCCAUUUUCGAGGACGGUCCAACCUUCCCAAGCGGGUUGUUGACGUACGCGGGGUACAUCUAUCCUUGCAGGUGUGUUUGCAGCGGGUAUAUGUGAUCUUGUCACCUUUGCUAGAUCAUUAAAAGCAUCCGGCAUGCUUUGAGCAAUGCUCUGAAGAUCUAUAAUUCGAUGCACCUCAGUGUCAGACUGACAGUGCAAGGAUCUAAAUGAGACAUAGUGGGAGCAUACCACAACAAUCCGUGACGUUCUACGUGAACGUUAGCAUGCUUAUCUUGCCGUAAUGACAGGAAUGAUAGAAAGUGAAAAAACUGAAUCUUUCAUUUUGAUUAAUUAGAAUCAUACAUCGAGAGAGUAUUUUUACAUACAUCAAAUGAGUGCUGACUCAACACUUUACAUUAGCAUCAGCUGGUCAUAAAACUAACUCUAACAAUACUAACAAGCUACCAAUAGUAAUCUGAUGUAGGUGAUGUUCAUGAUUAGUUUGUGAACCUACAGUACUUCUAUCAGACCCCCUCAAGCUGAAGGGAGUAGCAUGCACUGAAAGCUUGCUUCGAAGAAGAUGAAACCUAUGCAUGGGUAAAGAUUUAGUAAAAAUAUUAGCAAUCUGCAGUAUGAUAGGAACAUAUUGAACCCCAAUAUGACCAAGAAAAACCUUCUCACGAAUAAAGUGGUAAUCGAUUUCGACAUGUUUUUUUCCUAGCAUGGAACACGGGAUUUGAGGCCAGUGCAAUGGCACUUUUAUUGUCGCAAAACACAAUCGGAGUUCGGAGAAGAGGAAAAUGAAGAUCUUUAAGUAUUUUGCAAAUCCAAGUAAUUUCAGAUGCUGUAUUAGCUAGAAAGCGAUACUUUGCUUCAGUAGAGGAUCUAGCCACUGUACUUUGCUUUUUAGCACUCCAUGAAAUUAAGUUUUGACCCAGAAAAACACAAUAGCCACUUGUAGAGUGACGAUCAACUGGGCAGUCAACCUAGUCUGCAUCACUACAAGCAGUGAGAACCUGAGUACCCUUAGUAAACCAUACUCCAGAAUCCACAGUUCCUUUUUGGUAUCUCAAAAUACUUUUAACAACAGUAAAAUGAAUAUCUCUAGGUGCAUGCAUAUAUUGGCAAACUAAGUUUACAGCAAAGGAAAGAUCUGGCCGUGUACAAGUUAGGUACUGCAGAGCACCAACAAUAGACCUGUAUUGUGAAAGAUAGAUAAAAGAGUCCUUGAAUGAUCUAAUUUGUAGAACCAAUCAGAAGGUUUAGCAGCCAACAUAUCAGUUUUCUUCAAAAGAUCCAAAGCAUACUUAGAUUGCACCAUAAACAAACCUUUGUCUAAUCUGUGGACUUCAAUACCCAAAAAAAAAGAACAUCACCUAAAUCUUUGACUGGAAACAAAUUACCAAGCUGUUGAAUAAUUUGUUGACAAAGAGAAGUAGAACUGCCGGUGAUGAUAAUAUCAUCCACGUAAAUUAAGGCCAUAUAAAGAUCUUCGUAGCUUACAGACAAAAUUAGGUCUUGAACUGUCAACGAAGCCAGGAGGUUGCUGCAUAUAUACACCUUCCUUGAGAUGCCCGUGUAAAAAUGCAUUACUCACAUCAAGUUGAUGAAUAAACCAAUCAUAAUGAACUGCCAAAGAAAAUAAAUCCUGAUAGUUGUUGGUUUGGCAACCGGAGAAAAAGUUUCAAAAAAAUCCACCCCUUCUUGUUGAUGAAAACCCUUUACAACAACUACGGUACCAUCAGGUUUAUGUUUAAGUCGAAGCACCCAUUUACAACCUACCAAAUUGUAAUGAGGACUGGGUGGAACCAACUCCUAGGUUUUAGUAUUAUAUAAAGCCUGAAGAUAAGUGGAUGGUGGUGAAGGGAGAGUAGUAAGGGAAUCAGUAGAAACCUGCAGAGGAUGUUUGGUAGCUGUAAACACUUUUGGUUUAAAAAUGCCAGCUUUUGACCUAGUAACCAUGGGAUGUAAGUUUGAAUGUUAGGCAGAGGCAUUUGUUUCGAUGGAAGAUGUUGGUAAAAGAGAUGUAGGGGAUGGGGGAUGAGGAGAUAUAUAUGGUGUAUAAAAAGAGGAAGGGGAAUUAGAAGAUGUGGGUGAGGAGAGUAAAGGAGUAGUAGCUAGAGGUAAAUGAUGAGAAACAGGAAUUGUAAGAGAAAAUGAGUGUGAAGGUGAAGGUGAAGGUGAAGGGAUGGGUGAAAAGGCAGAUGUAGUGGUUGGGAAUGUUUGGUAGGGAAAGAUAGAUUCAUCAAAGGUGACAUGCCUAGAAAUAUAAAGUCUAUUGGUAGAAGGAUCUAGACAUCGAUAACCACUAUGGUUUAAACUGUAUCCCAUGAAAACACAAAGUUUACUCUUCACAUCCAACUUAUCUUGGGCAUAAGGUUCUAACCAUGGAUAACAUGCACAUAAAAAAACCUUGAGAGUAUGAUAUUUAGGAGGAGCUUUAAACAAUUGUUGCCAAGGAGAAAUAUGAGAAAAAUGAUAUGGGAGCCGGUUAAUAAGCUAGAUUGCAGUCUGAAAGGCUUCAACCCAAAAUCGAUGUUUGAGAUAAAAGAGUUCUGCCCAUUUCUACUAUGUGACGAUGCUUUCUUUUAGCACAACUGUUUUGUUCAGGAGUAUGGGGACAACUCAACUGAUGAAUAAUUCUAUGGGCAUUUAGAAAAGAUUGAAAGCUUUUACUCAAAAACUCACCCCCUGAAUCUGAUCUGAAGCACUUUAUUUUGGAAUCAAACAAGUUCUGAACCUUAGCAGUAAAUAGUUGAAAAACUGAACAUACAUCAGACUUGUGAUAUAGAGGAUAAAACUAGCAAUACUUCGAGAAAUCAUCCACAAAGAUCACAUAAAAUUUGUAACCAGCACAAGACACUAUGGGGGAUGGGCCCCAUACAUCAGAGUGAAUCAGUUGAAGUGGCCUAGUGGAUGUACAAGGAAGAUUAGUAAAUGGUAAACGAGAAGCUUUGCCUAUAUGACAAGCAGAACAACCUGAAAGUGUACUAACAGGACCAACAAUUGGCAGUUUGUUCUUAUGCACAAUACUAGUGAUAAUAGCACUAUAGGGAUGACCUAAACGUUUAUGCCAGACAUUAACAUCAGCUUUAGCAAUCAUGAGGGCUGUAGGAGAAAUGGUGAUACCAGAAACACCAUUAGAGGCCGUCCAAUAGAAAGGAUAGAUGCCACCUUCACUAGGGCCCUGAAAAAGCAUCCUCCCAGUUCUUAGGUCCUUUAUAUAGAACCCCAAAGGAUAAAAUGUUAGUGAAAAUGCGUUAUCAGUAACAAACUUGUAAACAGAUAACAAGUUAUGUGAUGCCUUAGGAACCAGUAACACAUCAUUCAAUCAAAAAGUAGCAUUAGAUGUAUGUAGUAAUGCAGAACCAAUAUGAGAAAUAAACAGACCUUUACCAUCACCAACAAAGAGUUGUUCAGUGCCAGAAUAAGGUAUAGCUGAGUUCAAUGAAGCAGGAUUAGGUGUGACAUGAUGUGAAGCGCUAUUAUCUGUGAGUCAAUAGCUUGAUGUAGAGGAUGUCAUAGCAGACAUUGCCGUAGGAGGUGCAGCAAAAAAAUUCAUGCUAAUAGCCAUACCAGAAGCAAACUGAAAGAGAUAACGGCAGGUAGAAGUAAAAUGUCCAAAUUGUAAACACAAUUGGCACUAUUUUGGUCGACCCGAGACAAGAAGAUUGACCAAGAUGUUGAAAUCCAGAAUUCUGACCAAAAUUCGUAGGAGCAGUACCAAGUACACCACCAUAAGUAUUAUUAUUACGAUUGGGACCAAAUCUACGACCAUCUGACUGAUUAAGUCAAUUUUGAUUCGGAAAUCGAGUACGAGAAUUACCUUUGAAAGAAUUCGUACUAGAUGAAGCUUGUUGAGCAGUGUAAGCAUGAAAGGGCUCAGAAGCAAAAGACGAAAAAGCUCGUGAUUUGUGUUUUUGAAGCAAAAUCUCCUUACUCAAUAGCAUGCCAUGAAGCUUAUUAGCAAGCACGGGUUCAAGUCUGGUCUCAAUGGAGUAAAUAAAUGACACGUAAUCAUCAGGUAAACCAGAAAGUAUGUAGGCUAUCAGAUCUGAUUCAGAGGUUGGUUCACUGGUUGCGGCUAGUUUAUCGGAGAUCACCUUGAUUGAGUUAAGAUAGUCAGUCAUAGAAGAAUCACUUUUUUGAAUUAUUUGAAUCUUGGAGCGAAGGCUAUGAACAUGUGUGCGCGAAGCACCAGCGAAUCAACGCUUGAGAGAUUGCCAGAGAGAUCGAGAAUCCUCCAUACCAACCUUCAAAGGUAGCAGAUCUUUAGAUAGAGUAGAAUGAAUCCAAAUCAUCAGGAUUUGAUCUCACUCACACUAUAGUUCAUAAGCAGCGUUGAGAACUCGAGAUCCAGCUGAAUCAAGAACAAAUUGAGGAGGACAUGGAUCUUUGCCAUUUACAAGCCCUAAAAGCUUGAAUCUAUUCAAAAUAGGAAGAAAGAUGCUGCUCCAGGUGAUGAAAUUGUGACGGUUAAGCUUCGUCAAUACCAUGCCCCUAAUAUUCUAAAUAGUAAUCGAUCCGAGAGAAACAAUCGAAGGAUUGGAGACCUCAUUGUGAUGAGUAUUACCAGAAGAAUUUCUCGGAGAAGAAGAAUUAGGAGAAUUCAGAGUUGUCGUCAUGAGAGGAAUCAUAUGAACUGCAGUAGAAAUGGAAGAAUUAGAGAAGUAGAGAUCUGUUUGGGCGACGAGAAAAUGUGAGAAAAUAAAAUAAAGUAUAAGAAAGGGGAAGCGUAGGAUCGACGCGUUGUUAGACACCAGUAAGGGAUACCAUGAUAGAAAGUGAAAAAACUGAAUCUUUCAUUUUGAUUAAUCAAAAUCAUACAUUGAGACAGUAAUUAUACACACAUCAAAUGAGUACUGACUCAGCACUUUAACUUAGCAACAACUGGUCACAAAACUAACUCUAACAAUACUAACUAGCUACAAGUAGUAAUAUGAUGUAGGUGAUGUUCAUGAUUAGUUUGUGAACCUGUAGUACUUCUAUCAGGGAAGACUAUUUCAUCAAAGUGACAAUCCGCAAAACGUGCGGUAAGAUAUAUCUUGUCAAGGGUUUUAAGUAGCGAACAAUUGAUGCGAAUCAUAGCCAACAUAGAUUCCUAUUUUUCUCUGAGGACCCAUUUUGGUACUAGCGGCGGAGCUAUUCGCACAUAAAUGGCGCACCCAAACACCCGUAAGUGCGAGACGUCAGGCUCGUAUCCAGUGACCAACUAUAACUGUGAAUGUGGUUGGGUAGCGGUGGGCCUUAAGCGGACCAACAUAGCUGGGUGCAAUAUUGCAUAACCCCAGGCAGAUACCGGCAGUUUGGUUUUCAUAACCAAAGUCCGAUCUAUUAAUUGAAGACGCUUUAUAAAAGCUUCUGCCAGGCCGUUUUGGGUGUGAACAUGGGGUAUAAGAUGUUCCACAUUUAUCCUUACUGACAUUCAAUAAUCGUCAAAAGUCUGUGACGUAAACUCUCUAGCGUUAUCCAGUUGAAUCAACUUGAUCAAAUAAUCAGGGUGGUGAGCCCUUAACUUAAUGAUUUGAGAUAGGAGUUUAGCAAAUGCGGCAUUGCAUGUGGACAACAAGCAAACAUGUGACCAUCGUGUCGAUGCAUUAACCAACACCAUAAAGUAUUUGAAUGGUUCGCAGGUUGGUUGGAUAGGUCCACAAAUGUCCCCUUGAAUCAUCUGAAGAAAUUUAGGGGGGUUGUGAAUAAUCUUUGUAUAUGAGGGUUGAGUAUUCAACUUCCCUAAAGAACACGCUUUGCAUGGUAGGAUUCCAACAUAUGGAUGUAACUUAUGUCCGUGUGAAGAUUUGAGGAUACGGCGCAUCAUGUCACGUUUAGGAUGUCCCAUACAAUCAUGCCAAAGCAACAAAGUGUCCGGGAACUCCGGGAACUCAGGCAUAGGGUCGGCCACACUGUGGGCUUCUAUGCCGCGAAUGGUUAUGAUGUACAACCCACUCGGCAAGCGUUCCAAUUUCUUGUGAAUAUGCUUCUGGCCAUAUUCAUACGAAGUGAUAUAAAGAAAUUCAGAACCAUGAUCUUCAGUGGUUUCGAGAUGAUAUUUAUUAUCUCGAAUAUCUCUAAAACUUAACAACGUUUUUCCAGAACGUGGAGAAUAUAGUGCCUCCUUAAUGGUCAGAAUUGUACCAUUAAAUUAGACAACAUGAUACAUGCCUUUCCGUAUCCUUCAAUUAGGUUGGAUGAGCCUGAGAGAGUUGUUAAAGGACCUUUCUUGGGUAUGAAGUUAGUAAAAUAGUGUCAUUAACCAACACCAUAAAGUAUUUGAAUGGUUCGCAGGUUGGUUGGAUAGGUCCACAAAUGUCCCCUUGAAUCAUCUGAAGUAAUUUAGGGGGGUUGUGAAUAAUCUUUGUAUAUGAGGGUUGAGUAUUCAACUUCCCUAAAGAAAACGCUUUGCAUGGUAGGAGUCCAACAUAUGGAUGUAACUUAUGUCCGUGUGAAGAUUUGAGGAUACGGCGCAUCAUGUCACGUUUAGGAUGUCCCGUACAAUCAUGCCAAACCAACAAAGUGUCCGGGAACUCAGGCAUAGGGUCGGCCACACUGUGGGCUUCUAUGCCGCAAAUGGUUGUGAUGUACAACCCACUCGGCAAACGUUCCAAUUUCUCGUGAAUAUGCUUCUGGCCAUAUUUAUACGAAGUGAUACAAAGAAAUUCAGAACCAUGAUCUUCAGUGGUUUCAAGAUGAUAUUGAUUAUCUCGAAUAUCUCUAAAACUCAACAACGUUUUUCCAGAACGUGGAGAAUAUAGUGUCUCCUUAAUGGUCAAAAUUGUACCAUUAAAUUAGACAACAUGAUACAUGCCUUUCUGUAUCCUUCAAUCAGGUUGGAUGAGCCUGAGAGAGUUGUUAAAGACCUUUCUUGGGUAUGAAGUUAUUAAAAUAGUGUCAUUCACGCAAGAUGAUAUGCGUGGUUGCACUAUCUGCCAGACAACUAACUUCCCCACUAGACAUACCUAAAAAUAAAUUGAUUGAAUUGGUCACAUGUAUAAAUAUAAGUCCAUUCAUUUAAUUAAACAAUUCGAGAAAAUAAUAUCCAUUCAAAUAACAAUCCAUAAUUCAAAACAAACCAAAACCAAACAAAUUAUUCCAAAUACUUAGAAAAAUUGUUCAAAAUUAAACCAUAAACCUAGCAAAAUAGGGGGGGGGUAGGGCCAUCCAUUCCUAGUGGGUUCGGCCACUAGGGGUAAACACCCUAAAUACAUGUCUAUUUUAUUCAUCCAUAGGAGUUGAUGCCUUCUGGAAAUCCGAUAUCCUCAUUGAUGUAGUUGCAUCUUCCGGAUGAUCCAUAUGUGCAAAGUUAGAUUGACAACGGGAAUGAUACUUGACAAUAGCCUCAAGGAAAACUCGACAUACGCGUGACCAAUGAUCCUUUGAUCCACAGCGAUAACACAUGUCCAGUUCAGUAGAAGCAGCCUGAACGGGAGCUUUGCCCUUGUUCUUGAAGUUUGGAACCUUAGGGGUGAAUGGUGGACGCUGUUGAGUCACAUUUCUUCUCUUAGGUGCGGCACUCUGUUGACCUUGGGCCCAUGUUUGGGCUUGCCGCCCAUUGCCACCAGCCGACGACGAUUCGUUUCGUCAUGGCGUAAUAGGGGUCGCAUGCGCUUCAAGCGCGAAGUUCGAGCCAAUGGGUCGAGCUUGAUGAUUCUUCAUCAAAAGUUGGUUCUGCUUUUCAGCGAGAAGUAAAACAAAUAUCAAAUCUGAAAACUUGGUGAAUUUCUGUGCCUGUAUUGUUACUGCAGGACAAUAUUGGUGGCAUGGAAGGUCGAAUGAUUUUCCAAAGAGAUUGAUUCGGUUAGUUCCACUUUGCAUUUCAUUUCAACAGAGUUCAGAGAUUCUUGAUUCGGUUAGUUCCAGAAGCAGAAUUUUACAACGGAUUCUAACUUCAGAGUUGUAUUUAUUCACAGACUUAAAGUCCUAGAGCGAAAAAUGAUUCAGUCUUGUCUGCUUAGGCAAAGUAUAUGUUUUUCUGUUGGGAUCGAAACGUUGCUUGAGGCAAGAUAGUUUGCGUGGGAGACCUUCUAGAGCGGAGAUCGAGCAGUUCAAGUCGACAUGUCAUAAAUAUGUCUUCGGAGGAAAGAACGUGAUUAGUUCUUUGUCAACAGGUUUGUCGGCAUAUAGGUGCUCUAAUAGACAUGUAGAUAGGUUUAAAUUUGCAUGAAAAACCUUACGGUUUCCAUGUUAAGUUUGAAUGAAAAUUCGGGUUUCAAAGUUUGAAAACUACUCAGGUUCAAUUGGUUUUGAACAAUUAGUUCAUAAUGAAGAGGCCUGAAAAACAUAGAAUGCAAUAUUCUAACUUAAGUGGAUUUGACGGUUUUUCGGGAACUAUGAGAGCUUUGACUACGCAAGUAUGUGACGAUUCAAAGUAUAUAAAUAUUGAAUUGUUAAUCCCAAAAGUGAUCUUCAGGUUAAUAAUUUUGGAUUCAUUAUUAGAUUAAUGGACUGCAGGUCAUUAAUUAAUUCAAUAAAUCGGGCCACAUGGGGUCGAUUGUAGAAGCUAAAUAAUAUUAAAAUAAUAUUAUUGGAUUGAAAUUAUAGCCCCAAAAUAAUUUUGGGUUUGGUUUUGUGGGUAAGGGCAUGGGUAUGGGUGCCUUAAGCAUAAGGUGAGGCCCAAAAAAACCUUGGGGUGGUCUGCAAGCCACGGUGAAGGGAGGAAACCCCAACUGCAAGUUGGGUUUCGAAAUUAGACCAUGAAGGGGGCAUGGAAACAAACCCAGCACAUGCUGGCUUGUGGGCGAGCAUGCGAGAAAGGCCAGUGAAGGUUGGGACCUGGGCCGUGGGCAUGGGAAGCUAAGCCCAGCGCAUGGGCUGGCUGUUGAUGAUGCAUGCCGUGACAUAAGGGGCCCAACAAGCUAGGCUUGCGGGCUGUGGACCAGAAACUAGGGCUGCAGGCUAGUGGUUGUGGAGCAGCAAGCCCUACAGGGGCUGCGCAGGUAGUCCAAAGAGGGUGAUGCCAUCCCAUGGUGAGACAAAAAACAUACCCAAUUUUCGAACCUAGGGUUUCAGAAAAACCCAAAUUUGCUUCUAAUUUAAUUUUAUAUUUUGACUCACAAAUUCCACAUAACAAUUUAAUUGUGUGAUGCAUGAAACAAAUAUAUAUAUAUAUAUAUAUAUAUAUAUAUAUAUAUAUAUAUAUAUAUAUAUUGUGACAAAUAUAUGAACAUAUGCAAUAUAUAUAUCGAAAGGAAAAUAUAAACAUAGAGGGGUUCAUGCAUCAUGGGGAAUGUUUUCAUGCUUUGUGGACGUUUCAAAUAUCUUCUUUUAUUUUAAGUGUACUUGAUUAGCAGAAAACGAAUAAGCCUUUGAAUUUGGUGGAUGAUGGCCUCCUCCAAUGAUGUGUUAAUUCCUCAGCUUCUGGCAAGAGCGUGCUGAUAACGUAUUGUAGGCCUAUUUGAUUGAACGAUGUAGGAUAUAGAGAGAGAGAGGGGGCCGACCACUAUUAGAGAGGAGAGAUUGAUUUAAUUGUGAGGUGUGCUUGAUUCACCCAAUUGUCCUUUAUUUAUAAUAGUAGGAAGGAUAAAACCUUUCCCUUUAGGAUUACAAAAUUUAAUAGGUAAUCUAAUCCUAAUAGGAAUAUAUGAUACAUUCCUAGAUUCCCUAGGAUUUACACAAUCACAUUUCUAUUCUAAAUAUGACUGCAACACAUAAGACUUUUUACUUAUAAGUGAAAAGAAAUAUCACUAGACCAUGACUUAUAUUAAUAGCAUUAUCCUUCUAGUAAUCCUACAAUUUAAAGAGAAUACAUAAAUAAAAUCCUAAGGCGACAUGGGUUGAGACAUUAAAUACGGAAAAUAAGCAUCACGAUUCUUUCCCAAAUUAAGACAGUGUAAAAGCGGAAAGAAAAUUGUAAACUUGCCAAAACGAUUGGAAUAAUUAAUUAUUUUUGUUAUUAUACUACAAAAUCCCAACUUUAUAUAGAAUCUGGGCAUGUACCGAGCAGCAUUCACCUCCCUAUAAAUUACAACGCAUGAUUUGCUUCAACUCAGGCCACUGCUUCUCACUCUACAGCGUUCUCUCUCUCUCUCUCUCUCUCUCUCUCUCUCUCUCUCUCUCUCUCUCUCUCUCUCUCUGCCUUUCUGAUCUGUUCGUCGGUUUUUGAACUAGCAAUCGACCUACAAUGAAGAUUCGGGGCAAAAACAUUCUGCUUGUGUUGUUAUGGGCUUUCGCUUUUGCAGGUUUGCUUUGUAUUUCUAUCAUCUUGUUAUGAAAAAUUGACUUUGAGCUUGUGUAAAGCUUCAGAAUGAAGAUUAAACGCUUAUUGGCACGGUCUCUCAUUAUCGUUAAUUUUGGUGUUAAUGUUGAAUUCGUUUGGUGGGGCCCAUCGACUAAGCCUUCUGGGGAGAAUAACUUCCCUAUCCCCAAUUUUAUACAGCCAGUUACACCUAAAAGGCACAAUCGAGGCCAAGACACCUAUAAGUCGCCCUAAGCAAGGGAACAAUACUGCUAUAUUGACGCUGAUGAGCCAUAACUUGUGCCUCAAGGCAAAACAGUACUGCUAUUGUUUGAUUCUGCUAUCUAGGAGGAUUUUUUAUUUUGCAUUUAAGCGAUAUCAAAAUUAUUACCUUGACAACAUUACCUAUGUAUUUUAAUUUUAUUUCAUCACAACAUAAUACGAUGAACAAUUAAACAAUUGCUUUGUGCUUUACAGGGAUUGAAGUAAAUUGCUUAUCCUAUGAUUACACAGCCAGUAUUGAGGCAAGUUUCCCAACAAUUGUUUUGUAAAGUUUACAUAGAGAUAUCAAUUAAAUCUAACAAAUUUGUGACCUCUUUUGUUCCUCUUGUUUACAGUGUUUGGCAAAGCCUCACAAACCACAAUAUCGUGGAGGAAUCAUUGUAAACUCGGAACUUAAUGAUGGCCUGAAAGGAUGGUCUGCUUUCGGCAAUGCAAAAAUACAACACCGAUAUUCAGAAGGCAACAAAUUCAUUGUGGCAUAUGGUAGAAACCAGCCACAUGACAGUAUUUCUCAGAAGACCUACUUGCAUAGAAACAAGCUCUACACCUUCUCUGGUACUUACCCUAUUACUCUCUUUUUUACUGAUUAAUGAUAUAAUUAUUAGUUAAUUAAUAAAUCAGUCGAUAAUUGUACAAUAUAUCUGGUUUGUGUUGGUGCAGCUUGGAUACAAGUGAGUAGCGGUAGUGCUCCGGUGACAGCAAUUUUCAAGACAAAUAGCGUAUUUGUACAUGCUGGUGCGAUUGUAGCCGAAUCCGGUUGCUGGUCCAUGCUCAAGGGUGGCCUUACUGUCAAUGCCACGGGUCCUGCCGAGCUCUACUUUGAGGUAUUUGUUUUAGCUAUUUGUACGACAUUUACUGAUUUUUUUUACGUUACAAUGAAUUAGUACGUUAAUCUCUUAUAACUGACAAUUGUUAAAUUAAUAAUUCAGAGCAAGAACGCAUCUGUUGGAAUCUUUGUUGAUAGCAUCUCCUUACAACCAUUCACUGAGAAGCAGUGGUAUUCUCAUCAACAACAAAGCAUUGAGAAGGUGAGUUUAAUCAGGCCAUAUAAUUAAUCGUUAAACAAGGCUAAUUAAGCACAGAUUAACUAGCUAUACUCUUUUUACAGAUUCGUAAGACGAAUGUGAGAGUUCAAGCAGUCGAUGAGCAAGCAAAUCCACUAGAAAAUGCAACAAUAACCAUCCAACAAAAGGCUGCAGGCUUCCCUUUCGGUGUCGCAAUCAACAAGAACAUCUUAACCAACACGGCCUACCAAAACUGGUUCACUUCAAGGCCCUUCACGGUCACGACAUUCGAAGAUGAAAUGAAAUGGUACAGCACGGAGCCUUCUUUGGGCCGUGAGGACUACUCUGCCGCUGAUGCCUUGCUUCAGUUUGCAAAACAACACAAGAUUGCAGUCCGAGGCCACAACGUGUUCUGGGACGAUCCUCAUUACCAGCCCAGUUGGCUCAACUCGCUCUCUGGCCGACAAUUCUCUGAUGCUGCGUACAAGAGGCUCACUUCUGUCAUGGGAAGAUACAAGGGACAAGUCAUUGCUUGGGAUGUUUGUAACGAAAAUUUGCACUUUAACUUCUUUGAGAGUAAGAUGGGUGCAAAUGCUUCAGCUGAAUUUUACAAUUGGGCUAGUAAAGCCGAUGGAACAACCACAUUGUUUUUGAAUGACUACAAUACCAUUGAGGAGAGUGGAGAUCAAGAUUCGACGCCGGCUAAGUACCUUCAGAAGCUGCGAGACAUACAAGGGUUUCCUGGUAACGAAAAUGUGAAGAUGGCGAUUGGCCUCGAGUCACAUUUCAAGACUCCUAACAUUCCGUACAUAAGAUCUUCUAUUGAUACUCUUGCUGCUGCAAAGGUGCCAAUUUGGAUUACAGAGUUGGACGUCGAAAGUAGUCCCGAUCAGGUAAAAUACUUCGCCUUUCCAGUUUCCACCCAUUGUAUAAUUGAUUUUGCAUUCGAUACAUUAAAUUUUACAUGAUAUCAGGGCGAGCAAUUUAUUUAUGUCACAUGUGAAGGGAAGUAUUGAUUAUAUAAAUAAAAAUCACAAUUUUGUGGAUUUGCAAGCUUUUGUUUUUUGGUUGUAUAUGCAGGCAUCAUACUUGGAGCAGAUUCUUAGGGAAGUGCAUGCUCACCCUCAGAUUCAAGGCAUUGUGAUUUGGUCCGCAUGGAAACCUUGGGGCUGCUACAGGAUGUGUUUGACGGACAACAAUUUCAAGAACUUGCCCACCGGUGAUGUUGUUGACAAGCUCUCACAUGAGUUUGGUUUAACUUCUGACGAAAUUUUUGUCACGACAGAUGCUAAUGGCUUCUUCGAAGCCUCCCUUUUCCAGGGCGAUUACGAAGUCAAAAUUACUCAUCCUUUCGUAAACUCCCCCUUGGUUUCGGGUUUGAAUGUGGCACCAUCUGUCGAGUCCCCGCAACAAAUGCAGCUUCAAGUUAAUGUUUGAGUUUUGUUCACUAGGGAGUUCUGUUCAUUUUUGUUUAUUAGUAGGAUAAUGCAAAGAAGAUCAUUUAUUUAAAUCAUAAUCUGUAAACCAUAUAAUGUGGUCGGCGAUUAAUUUUUUUUUUUUUUAGUUUUUGCUUAAAAUUUACUCACGAAAGUGUUUGUUCUCUUUUGUAAUGAAUGACAAAACAUUUGUUCAUUACUGAGGCUACCUAUGUAGGGAUGGCAACAAAUCGGUUUGGGGACAGAAAUGCUAUAUCCAUCUCCAUAAUCACGAAAAUUAACCAUAUCCAUAACUACGAAAAUUAACUAUAUCCAUAACCGCAAAUUAACCAUCGGGUAUUAUCCAUAACCAUACCCACUGGAUAACGGAUUCCCCAUCGGUUAACAGUUAUAUCCAUUUUUGUUAAUAUAAAAAAUACAUUCGCUCAAUUGACGCAUGAUAAUUUAGUAAAUAUUAAUUCCGUCAUUAAAUAUUUGAUGUAUAAAAUGAUUUAAUUAAUCGAUCUUGUGGAGCAUAAAAAUUAAAGCUAAACAUUGAUAAUGUUGGUUGAUCUUUGAUAUCUCCCAUAAAUACCAUUAAAUUCUCAUAAAUUUUGAUUCAUAUCAAAACUUUUGAACUUUGCCACAAAAUGCAACUCACACAAUGCAAUUUUGUAUUCUCAAGGUAAUGAAUUCAGUGAAUAAUGAAUACAUACAUACAUAUAUAUAUAUGUGUGUGUGUGUACAUAUAUUAUAUAAUACUUUAAUAUUAUAUAUAAUUAUAAGAAAAACUAAUGAAAAUGGUUUGAAAACUUUGAGUUUUAACGAUAAGAAUAAAGGGUAAAAUGAAUAGUACCAGGAUUGACUUUUUAGUGUAAAAAUAUGGUUUUUCAUUAAAAUGAACAGUACCAAGAGCUUUUCGUUAAAGUUCUCAUAAUAAUAUUAUUUAUUAUUCAGUUCGGAUUCAUGUACGGAUAUAGAUUGGGGACCCCUAUAACCAUAUCUAAAACCAUAACCAAAUAAUAUUCACGGUUUUCCCCAUACAUAAUUCAUACCCAAAUCCAAUCUAUUCAGAUGGUUAUUCAUGGUUAUAACGUUUAACGGUUAAAAUUGUCAUCUUAACCUACGUAAGUACCUAGGGCACUUCUCAAACCAAAUGGAUUCGGAUAGGGCUCAAAUACAAGGAUUUCCAAAUUGUUAAGAGAUAUACUGUAUAAGUAUGACGUGAUUAGAUACUCCGACACAAGACUUUCACCAAAUUUGGGGGAUAAAAUGUGCAAAAUAAUGUAAAUAAAAUUGCUACAUUUUCUCUUAUCAAUGCCAAUUUCUUACUCUUUGUAAGCACUCUGAAAGGUGCAAAAGAGAGUACAAAAACAGAGGUAUUUUAAAAUACCUCAUUUUGUUUCAACAGUUUUCUUCUUCUUUUUUCUUCUUCUUGUGCCGGUCGAACUGACGACCUCGUGGACCUCAUGUGAAACACAAAGCCACUAGGCCACAGAGAGACCGGCA